This is a long non-coding RNA of Pseudoliparis swirei, 561 nucleotides long. RefSeq lists it as uncharacterized. The transcript is spliced from 3 exons. The record is from RefSeq and is a predicted model, not a curated record. Lineage: Eukaryota; Metazoa; Chordata; Actinopteri; Perciformes; Liparidae.
CCUCCCCUGAUACUCCUGUUGCUUUUUAACUAAAGUCCCAUAAAGUAACAAAAACUGGAAAAGUGUGUGUAAUGUGUGUGUAGAAUUUCUACUCACUACCGCCCCCUAUGUUUGAAUGGUGCUGGGUGCGCGGCUACACACACUCCCGUGUGUGUGUAUAACUUCUCGCGGGAUUUGCCUGAGAUCUCGCCAUGUGUCCACGAAUCUCGCGAGAUGUAAGGCAAAGUCCCAUGCAGUGGUUCGAGAUCUGGAUCUGAUUCCCCAAGCCGUGUGGAUCUGUCUAACUCAUGAACUUCUUCUCCAAGGUGACACACAAUCAGGCUCCUGCUGUGGCAGUGGACACGGAGACGCCUUUAGACUGGACUACAUAUGAUGGAUGUGACCCAAAUAGAGCUACAGUCAGGUGACACACAAUCAGGCUCCUGCUGUGGCAGUGGACACGGAGACGCCUUUAGACUGGACUACAUAUGAUGGAUGUGACCCAAAUAGAGCUACAGUCAGGUAAGGGAGUAUUGUAAACACUGUUGUCUCUAUAUAUGUUGACCUGUACAUGAUGUAGCU